UGGGGAAUUUUGCACAAUGGGGGAAACCCUGAUGCAGCGACGCCGCGUGAUUUAGAAGGCCUUCGGGUUGUAAAAAUCUUUUUUAUGGGAUGAAAAUGACAGUACCAUAAGAAUAAGGUCCGGCUAAAUACGUUCCAGCAGCCGCGGUAAUACGUAUGGACCGAGCGUUGUCCGGAAUCAUUGGGCGUAAAGGGUACGUAGGCGGCCCAGUAAGUUAGAAGUGAAAUAAUAUAGCUCAACUAUAUAAAGCUUUUAAAACUGCUAGGCUUGAGAGAUGGAAGGGAAAGUGGAAUUCCUAGUGUAGCGGUGAAAUGCGCAGAUAUUAGGAAGAAUACCGGUGGCGAAGGCGACUUUCUGGUCAUCAUCUGACGCUGAGGUACGAAAGCGUGGGUAGCAAACAGG
Molecule: ribosomal RNA, 402 nt
Filed under: Bacteroidota bacterium
Lineage: Bacteria; Pseudomonadati; Bacteroidota
Description: Bacteroidetes bacterium partial 16S ribosomal RNA
Rfam family: Bacterial small subunit ribosomal RNA
Source: RNAcentral